Molecule: unclassified non-coding RNA, 391 nt
Filed under: soil metagenome
Description: partial contains 5.8S ribosomal RNA, internal transcribed spacer 2, and large subunit ribosomal RNA
Rfam family: 5.8S ribosomal RNA (bases 1-120)
Source: RNAcentral
GAUGAAGAACGCAGUGAAAUGCGAUAAGUAAUGUGAAUUGCAGAAUUCAGUGAAUCAUCGAAUCUUUGAACGCACCUUGCACCCUUUGGUAUUCCGAAGGGUACACCCGUUUGAGUGUCAUUGUAAUCUCACUUCUACAACUUUUUUGUUGUCGAAUGUGGACUUGGACGUCUGCUGUGUUUUGACGGCUCGUCUCAAAUGACUGAGUGUACCCUGCUUUGCGGCGUAUUCGGUGUGAUAAACAUUUCACCGGAGUUUGGUCUCCUGACCGCGCUUUUGCAAUCGGUGGGCUCUAUGCUUUCCAACCGUCCCUCGUGGACAAUCUUUGACAAUUUGACCUCAAAUCGGGUGGGACUACCCGCUGAACUUAAGCAUAUCAAUAAGCGGAGGA